AUACGGAGGAUCCGAGCGUUAUCCGGAUUUAUUGGGUUUAAAGGGUGCGCAGGCGGCCCUUUAAGUCAGCGGUUAAAUCGUGGGGCUCAACCCCAUUCUGCCGUUGAUACUGGGUGGCUUGAUUGCGGUCGAGGUUGGCGGAAUUCGUUGUGUAGCGGUGAAAUGCAUAGAUAUGACGAAGAACACCGAUUGCGUAGGCAGCUGACCAGACCGCAAAUGACGCUCAUGCACGAAAGUGCGGGGAUCGAACAGGAUUAGAUACCCUGGUAGUCCGCACAGUAAACGAUGAAUACUUGUUUUCGGCGAUAUAAUGUCGGAGGCAAAGCGAAAGCGAUAAGUAUUCCACCUGGGGAGUACGCCGGCAACGGUGAAACUCAAAUGAAUUGACGGGG
RNAcentral lists this ribosomal RNA (392 nucleotides) under uncultured bacterium. RNAcentral's name for it is "partial 16S ribosomal RNA". It matches the Rfam family "Bacterial small subunit ribosomal RNA", at positions 523 to 918 of the family's 1533-position model. The record is from RNAcentral.